This 497-nucleotide ribosomal RNA is filed under the name uncultured bacterium. RNAcentral's name for it is "partial 16S ribosomal RNA". It matches the Rfam family "Bacterial small subunit ribosomal RNA", at positions 28 to 507 of the family's 1533-position model. The record is from RNAcentral.
GACGAACGCUGGCGGCGUGCCUAAUACAUGCAAGUUGAGCGAUGAAGAUUGGUGCUUGCACCAAUUUGAAGAGCAGCGAACGGGUGAGUAACGCGUGGGGAAUCUGCCUUUGAGCGGGGGACAACAUUUGGAAACGAAUGCUAAUACCGCAUAACAACUUUAAACAUAAGUUUUAAGUUUGAAAGAUGCAAUUGCAUCACUCAAAGAUGAUCCCGCGUUGUAUUAGCUAGUUGGUGAGGUAAAGGCUCACCAAGGCGAUGAUACAUAGCCGACCUGAGAGGGUGAUCGGCCACAUUGGGACUGAGACACGGCCCAAACUCCUACGGGAAGCAGCAGUAGGGAAUCUUCGGCAAUGGACGAAAGUCUGACCGAGCAACGCCGCGUGAGUGAAGAAGGUUUUCGGAUCGUAAAACUCUGUUGGUAGAGAAGAACGUUGGUGAGAGUGGAAAGCUCAUCAAGUGACGGUAACUACCCAGAAAGGGACGGCUAACUACGUG